UAUAAAUAGGGCAAGGCACUUGGGGGCCAUUCCAUCUUCACUUCCAGCACUAGUUCACUGGUUGGCUCUAUCUAGCUACACACAAACCUAAGCAGCCUAACCGUGUGCCUCAUUUUCUUGCUCUCUCGCUCUCAUUCUCACCAUGAACACAUAGUUCUUGCGCCCUUGUUUUUGCUCUCUCGUGGCCAGCCGCCAUUGCUGCUGCUUGGUCUUGUUCAACCACAAAGAAUAACCCAGUUGCUAGGUAGUUAGAAGAUCAGAGGGGAAGCAAAAUUGAAGGGUAUGGAACAAUCCUUGAAGCUCAGGAGGGAUAGCGCCUAGGAAAUCACUAGAUUGGAGCCAUGAGGAGAAAGAGAUCGAGAGACGUGUGAAUCGAUCUGCUCGGUCUCUUCCUCUGAAGGUUCUGUCUAUCAAUCUGAAGCGCUAUCUAUCCUGAGCUCCACGGCUUGUUCUUACCACACACACGCCGCCGGCCGGCCGAGCGAUCAUCGAUCGAUCGGGUUCUUCCCCAGCUCGCUCGCUCGCUCUCUCGAGAAGUUAAAUCCGUCUCUUCACGCCUCCUGUACAUUGUUGCGAUGUAGGUGAGAGGUCGCAGUCUCAUCAUGCAGCUUGACGCCAUUGCUGCAGGCCGAGAUAUCUCCUCUUAUGCUGGCUCCAUGAUUAUUUUACCAUAUCCGUGCGAGCGGUGAGGCGUGUUCAUGCGUGCACUCUCGCAAGUCGCAAAGUUAUGGGCACCCCCCGGUUUACUUGCUACCGUACAAAAGGAACACUGUUUUUUCGCACUGCUUGGAAGCAGAGAAGAAGCAAAAACAGCAGCUUUGCAUUAUUUGUGGCAAAGCAGGUCUCCGGAGACGAAAGCCUCGCGCCUUUUCCUUGAUGACUGCCAUUUCAGGGCAUGUAGGUAGGGGGCCGGAUCUUCUACGCCGCCGGACUCCACGGCCCAACGGCCCAUGCAAUGACACGACACCUCCCUGCUCCUCGUCGAAAAAAAAGAAAAAAGUCAAAGGAAGCGUGUGAUAAAAAUGAAAUGAAAUUAUGAAAGCCGUCAGGUCACUGGGGCCACAUUGGUGUUGUAGUGUGUACCGGGCUACCGGCAUGUAGCCUGAUCCCCAUUGUUCUUCCCGUGAAAGUUUUGAAUACAAUUUUCUUAUGAGGCUCAUCGUA
This is a long non-coding RNA of Panicum virgatum (switchgrass), 1164 nucleotides long. RefSeq lists it as uncharacterized. The record is from RefSeq and is a predicted model, not a curated record. Lineage: Eukaryota; Viridiplantae; Streptophyta; Magnoliopsida; Poales; Poaceae. The transcript is spliced from 2 exons.